Molecule: long non-coding RNA, 1628 nt
Organism: Rhododendron vialii
Lineage: Eukaryota; Viridiplantae; Streptophyta; Magnoliopsida; Ericales; Ericaceae
Exons: 2
Source: RefSeq, a predicted model, not a curated record
GAGUUUGGUUGUACACAUACUUCGCAUAUUCAACCUGAGAAGUAUGAAGAAGAAGGCUUCUCCCCUUUUUUGGCAAUUUUCAACCUUGUUUUGGAAUUUAUUUGAUGAUCCAAUUCGUCCUUAUUGUAUAACUUGUCGAUUAUAAUGUUUAUGAAAAGUAUGAGUUCAAUCAAGUAACAAAUGGUUAUUAAUCGAAGAAGAAAAAUCCCUGAAAAAAAUGAAAAAAAGUUAGCUGUGUACACUUGAUUACAACCCUUAUAAAAGAAGAAGGCUUCUCCUCAGUUUUUGAAAUUUUCGACCAUAUUUUGGAAUCAGUUUUACGAUCUGAUUUGUCCACAUUAUAGAAAUUGUCAAUUAAAAUGAAUUCGUCAGAUUUCAAGUCAAUCGGAUACUUCUUGGUAUCUAAUCGGAGAAGAUAUAUGUCAAAAAAAAUUAGAAAAAAAUGAGCCGGUAACACUUGAUUACAACCUUAAAAAGACUUUUUUCCUCCCACCUUCGUCCGUUAUAACAUCGUCGCCCGUCCAAGUCGACCUUGUCGCCGUUCCGACCACUGAGUCAGCCGGCAGAGAUGUGUUCGCGACUUGGGCGAUCGGAGCUGAUGAACUCAUCCACGCGGCCACACCCAUCGUCUCUUUCUCUCUCUACAACAACGGGUGCAUGUUUGCUAUUUGUGGCUCAGAAGACUCAGAAACAGAACCACUUCUGCAGCCAAGAAUGUGAGGAUCAAUCUAAGGAGUUGGAAGGAAGAGUUGGCAACAUUCCCUACUAGCUCAUCUGCUGGUGCAUUAGCUUUAUCGUUGCAACUUGCAACAUUUAAGGAUUGCGAAAUUGCUGGCGAAGAUAUGGCCGCACAUUAUCUCCCAAGAAAGCUUUGCCCUUACAGAAUGGGCGAGUUGGGUCUUUUACUGGGAAGCUGGACACUACUGUUGUGAAAGAGUGAGUGGCGACUGUGUUGCUUGAGUAAACAGUGUCAUGGUAGAUGCCUGCUACGCAAUAGCAACCAGCUCCCCCCGUCCAAAACGUCCAUCGCCACUAUCCUAGCCAAAGCCUUUAAGUGGGAGUUCAUUGUGCAGCCAACCCCUACUGCAAUCCGUACCCAGCCCAGCCAUGCCCUUCUCGGAUGGAACUCAAUGUUGAUGGGAGUGGUAGCGCUACAGAUUCAGAGGCAAGCGCUGGAGGCUUAGCUAGGGAUUGGAAAGGAAAUUGGAUCACCAGGUUUUCGUGCAAACUGGGCUCUGUCCCGGGUCUCUCAUAUGAGCUUUGGGCUAUUUAUCAUGGACUCAAAACAUUUCAAACAGGAAUACAUAUCCUUGGUGGAAAUCGAAUUAGAUGCCGCUAGUGCUAUCAAUGUAAUCAAUUUAUUACAAGCAAUCACCAACUUCACAUCAUCACUGUUUGCAGGCCCCUUCUCCAAGAGCUGGGCAAUCCUCCGGUUAAGCAUGUAAUGCAGGAAUGCAACAAGUGCGCUAGCCCAAGAAGCGAAAGUGCACCGUUUUCCUUUUUUAGUUUAUCUUGCAAUUCUGUAUAUCUAUUAAAUUCCAAAUGUUGGAGGACCAGAGAGGUGCUUCUGAACCAUGUACUCUUAUUUCUUUUCUUUUCUUUUUUCUUGAUUAAUUAGUGUUUGCUAA